AUUGAACGCUGGCGGCAUGCCUUACACAUGCAAGUCGAACGGCAGCACGGGAGCAAUCCUGGUGGCGAGUGGCGAACGGGUGAGUAAUAUAUCGGAACGUGCCCAGUCGUGGGGGAUAACGCAGCGAAAGCUGUGCUAAUACCGCAUACGAUCUAUGGAUGAAAGCGGGGGAUCGCAAGACCUCGCGCGAUUGGAGCGGCCGAUAUCAGAUUAGGUAGUUGGUGGGGUAAAAGCCCACCAAGCCGACGAUCUGUAGCUGGUCUGAGAGGACGACCAGCCACACUGGAACUGAGACACGGUCCAGACUCCUACGGGAGGCAGCAGUGGGGAAUUUUGGACAAUGGGCGCAAGCCUGAUCCAGCAAUGCCGCGUGCAGGGUGAAGGCCUUCGGGUUGUAAACUGCUUUUGUACGGAACGAAACGGUGAUCCCUAAUACGGAUUGCUAAUGACGGUACCGUAAGAAUAAGCACCGGCUAACUACGUGCCAGCAGCCGCGGUAAUACGUAGGGUGCGAGCGUUAAUCGGAAUUACUGGGCGUAAAGCGUGCGCAGGCGGUUAUAUAAGACAGAUGUGAAAUCCCCGGGCUUAACCUGGGACCUGCAUUUGUGACUGUAUAGCUAGAGUACGGUAGAGGGGGAUGGAAUUCCGCGUGUAGCAGUGAAAUGCGUAGAUAUGCGGAGGAACACCGAUGGCGAAGGCAAUCCCCUGGACCUGUACUGACGCUCAUGCACGAAAGCGUGGGGAGCAAACAGGAUUAGAUACCCUGGUAGUCCACGCCCUAAACGAUGUCAACUGGUUGUUGGGUCUUCACUGACUCAGUAACGAAGCUAACGCGUGAAGUUGACCGCCUGGGGAGUACGGCCGCAAGGUUG
This 872-nucleotide ribosomal RNA is filed under the name uncultured bacterium. RNAcentral's name for it is "bacterial SSU rRNA". It matches the Rfam family "Bacterial small subunit ribosomal RNA", at positions 28 to 896 of the family's 1533-position model. The record is from RNAcentral.